Brachypodium distachyon (stiff brome) is the source of this 466-nucleotide long non-coding RNA. RefSeq lists it as uncharacterized. The record is from RefSeq and is a predicted model, not a curated record. The transcript is spliced from 2 exons. NCBI's taxonomy places the organism in Eukaryota, Viridiplantae, Streptophyta, Magnoliopsida, Poales, Poaceae.
GCACAAGACAACCAACAUUUAAGUUUAACAAACGGUGUGAACUGUCAUUGUAUCGGCUGCCAGUAAGAUCUGCAAAAUUAGAAAGCCUGUUGAACAACUAAGCUUUAUUGCCCUAUCAAACGAAAGGGGGCUACAGAGAGUAUCUGAAUUAGCGUAUGGAAAACCUAAAUUAGGAAGGAAAGGGCAAGCAAAUUUACCUCUGCAUUGGGGAAGAUGGUCUCUCCACCCUUCUCAACAUUAGAUAGAUACAUGAGCACCGUCGCGAUUCGAUGCCCCCCAAGGGCUUGGUUGUUUUUGUCAUGGAAGUAAUCAUAGUGUGGCUCAUACUUCUCUCCAUUCUUAUAAUGUAAUAUUUGAAUGGAUUCACCAUUCUCUGAGCAUGGGCAGAAAUAACAGUUUUGAGUAAUGAAAAAUUAGAAAAAUGUAAGGUGUGAUUGUAAAGUUCAAUUAAGGUUACCUGAUGGAA